UGUAAGCGUAUACCAAAGUUGUUGCAGUUAAAACGUUCGUAGUCGGAAUUUGGCAGUUCCGGAUGUGUGCACGUCGUGUGCGCACUUCGCGGGGAUUGCUUUUGUGGUCUUGCGUAGGAUGAGGCACUUUUAUUAGUGAACGUCCUCACGCAACCACUUUUUACUGUGAGAAAAUCAGAGUGCUCAAAGCAGGCAUUUGCCGUGAAUGUAUUAGCAUGGAAUAAUAGAAUAGGACUUGGUUCUAUUUUGUUGGUUUGUUGGGACUGAGUAAUGAUUAAGAGGGACAGUUGGGGGCAUUUGUAUUUCGGUGCUAGAGGUGAAAUUCUUAGAUUACCGAAAGACAAACUGCUGCGAAAGCGUCUGCCAAGGAUGUUUUCAUUGA
Molecule: ribosomal RNA, 382 nt
Filed under: uncultured eukaryote
Lineage: Eukaryota
Description: partial 18S ribosomal RNA
Rfam family: Eukaryotic small subunit ribosomal RNA
Source: RNAcentral